This 335-nucleotide unclassified non-coding RNA is filed under the name soil metagenome. Its description in RNAcentral is "partial contains 5.8S ribosomal RNA, internal transcribed spacer 2, and large subunit ribosomal RNA". The stretch from base 1 to 120 matches the Rfam family "5.8S ribosomal RNA", at positions 35 to 154 of the family's 154-position model. The record is from RNAcentral.
GAUGAAGAACGUAGCGAAAUGCGAUAAGUAAUGUGAAUUGCAGAAUUCAGUGAAUCAUCGAAUCUUUGAACGCACAUUGCGCCCGCCAGUAUUCUGGCGGGCAUGCCUGUUCGAGCGUCAUUUCAACCAUCAAGCCCCCGGCUUGUGUUGGGGACCUGCGGCUGCCGCAGGCCCUGAAAAGCAGUGGCGGGCUCGCUGUCACACCGAGCGCAGUAGCAUACAUCUCGCUCUGGGCGUGCUGCGGGUUCCGGCCGUUAAACCACCUUCAUAACCCAAGGUUGACCUCGGAUCAGGUAGGAAGACCCGCUGAACUUAAGCAUAUCAAUAAGCGGAGG